RNAcentral lists this ribosomal RNA (463 nucleotides) under uncultured Rhodocyclaceae bacterium. RNAcentral describes it as "bacterial SSU rRNA". It matches the Rfam family "Bacterial small subunit ribosomal RNA", at positions 919 to 1382 of the family's 1533-position model. The record is from RNAcentral. Lineage: Bacteria; Pseudomonadati; Pseudomonadota; Betaproteobacteria; Rhodocyclales; Rhodocyclaceae.
ACCCGCACAAGCGGUGGAUGAUGUGGAUUAAUUCGAUGCAACGCGAAAACCCUACCUACCCUUGACAUGUCCGGAAUCCCGAAGAGAUUUGGGAGUGCUCGCAAGAGAACCGGAACACAGGUGCUGCAUGGCUGUCGUCAGCUCGUGUCGUGAGAUGUUGGGUUAAGUCCCGCAACGAGCGCAACCCUUGUCAUUAGUUGCCAUCAUUUGGUUGGGCACUCUAAUGAGACUGCCGGUGACAAACCGGAGGAAGGUGGGGAUGACGUCAAGUCCUCAUGGCCCUUAUGGGUAGGGCUUCACACGUCAUACAAUGGUCGGUACAGAGGGUUGCCAACCCGCGAGGGGGAGCUAAUCCCACAAAGCCGAUCGUAGUCCGGAUCGCAGUCUGCAACUCGACUGCGUGAAGUCGGAAUCGCUAGUAAUCGUGGAUCAGCAUGUCACGGUGAAUACGUUCCCGGGUCUU